AUUGAACGCUGGCGGCAGGCCUAACACAUGCAAGUCGAGCGGAUGAAGGGAGCUUGCUCCUGGAUUCAGCGGCGGACGGGUGAGUAAUGCCUAGGAAUCUGCCUGGUAGUGGGGGAUAACGUCCGGAAACGGGCGCUAAUACCGCAUACGUCCUGAGGGAGAAAGUGGGGGAUCUUCGGACCUCACGCUAUCAGAUGAGCCUAGGUCGGAUUAGCUAGUUGGUGGGGUAAAGGCCUACCAAGGCGACGAUCCGUAACUGGUCUGAGAGGAUGAUCAGUCACACUGGAAAUGAGACACGGUCCAGACUCCUACGGGAGGCAGCAGUGGGGAAUAUUGGACAAAGGGCGAAAGCCUGAUCCAGCCAUGCCGCGUGUGUGAAGAAGGUCUUCGGAUUGUAAAGCACUUUAAGUUGGGAGGAAGGGCAGUAAGUUAAUACCUUGCUGUUUUGACGUUACCAACAGAAUAAGCACCGGCUAACUUCGUG
This 484-nucleotide ribosomal RNA is filed under the name uncultured bacterium. RNAcentral describes it as "partial 16S ribosomal RNA". It matches the Rfam family "Bacterial small subunit ribosomal RNA", at positions 30 to 507 of the family's 1533-position model. The record is from RNAcentral.